GUGGUCAAAUGGUUACGCUGUCCGCUUUGUAAGCGGCUGAUCAUGGGUUUGAUUCCCAUC
RNAcentral lists this transfer RNA (60 nucleotides) under Culex quinquefasciatus (southern house mosquito). It matches the Rfam family "tRNA", at positions 7 to 64 of the family's 71-position model. From Rfam's summary of the family: Transfer RNA (tRNA) molecules are approximately 80 nucleotides in length. Their secondary structure includes four short double-helical elements and three loops (D, anti-codon, and T loops). Further hydrogen bonds mediate the characteristic L-shaped molecular structure. tRNAs have two regions of fundamental functional importance: the anti-codon, which is responsible for specific mRNA codon recognition, and the 3' end, to which the tRNAs corresponding amino acid is attached (by aminoacyl-tRNA synthetases). tRNAs cope with the degeneracy of the genetic code in two manners: having more than one tRNA (with a specific anti-codon) for a particular amino acid; and 'wobble' base-pairing, i.e. permitting non-standard base-pairing at the 3rd anti-codon position. Lineage: Eukaryota; Metazoa; Arthropoda; Insecta; Diptera; Culicidae. The record is from Rfam by way of RNAcentral.